UCCCUCUGCAGAAAGGAAGGAACAGGCAGAAAAGGAAGUUAAUCUUUAUCAACAUUAAAGAGCAGUAAGUGAGUAUAUUGUGUGUCUAAGCCACGGAGAAGGCAAGAGUGCACAUCAAGACAGGAGGACUGCUGCUCUGGGAAACAGCAGUGAAUGAAGCCAGCAGUGCAAAUGCAGCGCUUCCAGUGGUGCUGUCUGUGCCGCAGAAGUGACACCCCCAUUGUAGGCUUUCUCUGUCAGAAGCAAACCCAGGCCUCUCUGCAGAAGCUCUUGGCUUCUGCUUGCUUAUCAUCAAAAGAAAUGAGGCAGAUAAAAUCCCACCCAGCAGCAGGGAACAGGGACUGUGUAAGAGAUACUCAUACUAGUGUCUCCAGUUCAGAGUAGGAAGCUGUCCUGCUCCAUUUUACAAUCCAUACAAAGAGUCUCUGUUGCAGAUGCUGUCUUGCCCAUCUUCUGCAGGACCAGUAAAGAGCAGCAUUUAGCAAGGAGCUCCCUGCGGCUCCUAUCAUCUGCACUGCUGUCUCUGCACUUGCUCUGCUCCUUGCAGCAGUUACAACAGUGCAUAUCUUACAGAAUACCUGCUGAGUAAAAGUGCCAGAUGGAGAGAGGGCCUCACUCCUCCGGCAACAGGCCCAGAACCUGCUCAGUGGACUAGGCAGAGCAGCACAAAAUGCAGAACUUGGAGACUGCAGGUCCUGAUCCUUGAUGCAGUGCAGUCUGCACAGGCAGAAAUGGCUACACAGAGCACUAAUGAGGAGUUAAUGGAUUUUAAAGAUCAGUUUCAGUAACUGCUCUUCCAGGGCUGAGAAACAGAAUCAUAUUCAAAAGAUGUCUGUAGGUCAGUGGACUUCCAAGAGUCCACAUCAAAUACACAUCUUUAUCUUCAGGUGAACACAGCCAGGUGGGAUAGAAUAGAGGUGCCAUCCUCAAAGAGAAUUUAAGAGGGCAAGAAAAAGUGCUGGCUUUUGAGUCACACAAUGUUUGUGCAUCUUUCAUACCAGCAGAAGCUACAGAGGGAAUCUGCACUAUGGAAGCUGAGGGAAAAACACCAAGUUCAUAUGAAAGCACCUAGGUGAAGGAACAAUAACCUGCCUGAUGAGACUUCAAAAAGGACCUGUGCUCACUUGAAAGACAGCACUGAGGAGCAACUCCUGACAGGAUUAGCGGUGGUGAUGCAUCCUCUCUGUGCUGUUACUCGGCAGGGUGGUAACGAGUCACAAACCUUGUUAAGCAACUCAGUGUCAUGUUUUCUGAUGAGCAAACACCCAAGCCCCGGAUCUUUGGGGAUGAAGAGAGCCUCCUCAAUGGUGGAAUGAAAACACUGAUUAAAAUUCACUUCUCUGGGCAUCAGCAAACUGAAGUCUUCGUGAGCUCACUGAAAAGGGCUCUUGACUGUGGAGGAAAACCUCAUGAACCUCCACCUACACACCCAAAAGGCUUGCACAGCAAACUCUCCAGGAAAUCCUCUCCUGGGAAGCAGCAUAGAGGCUCCUGGAGGUGGUUUGUUGUUUCUCUUUGUUGGCUGUGACACUUGCUUUCAAAACCCGCAGACCAACAAUGACCCACAUCAUGAGUUAGCUGAAGUUUUCCCUCAUGACAGUUACCAUGACUGAAUAAAAACGACCAUUGUCUUCAUUUUUGCUUCCACUUCCAACACAAAACCUGUUAUAUCCAAACUGCACAUUUAUUCAGACAAACUCCUCCAUUGCACAACAGGGUCCACAGAGGAAAAGGCAUUUCUGCCCUCAGAGCAGAACUGUGUGCACAAGCAGGGACUGCUUGCAUAACUCCAGCCUUUCUUUGUGUGGUUAUAUCCUCUUUAGUUUACAUCAAGCAGUCCUCAGCUCUGGUGGUGAUUUCUCAUCAGGAAACCAAAACCCUGUUACAUGAGGUGUUCUCAAACACAGGAAAAACCCAAACAUAAUAGAUAGGGAGGAAGAAAAAUGAAUCUGAACUACACUGCUGCUUUUUCUGCACAAGCAACUUGCUUUUCUUCAUAGCCUGUAGAGGCAGUUUGCAAUUUGUUUUAACCAGAAGUUAGAAAAGCUGGUGACAAACAGCAACUUAGAACUUAUUUACUUUGUGCCUAUUAGAAAUCUGACAAAAAUGUGACAGUUUGUUAUAAGCAAUGAAAAAUAAAGUGAAAAGAUGUCCAUUAAAAAAAAAAACACCAUCAAAACCCAACAAAACCACAAUAUUUUUCCUAAAGAAUCCUUGUAAAUACAGAAGGGAACAAACACCCCAAAUAAUGGCACUUUAAUACUGUUCUUUUGGCAAGUCAGACCACAAUCAACAAGCAAAACUGGAGCUGGGCAGGACCUCCUGGGGCAUGUAACACAGCUCACUGCAGCACAUGAAUUUAACCUGUCAAGAAAACAGCAGCCUGGUUAAGAGCAGCCUGGACACUGCAAAACCAGUGCAAACUCCAGCCAACAGCAGCCUGGUUAAGAGCAGCCUGGACACUGCAAAACCAGUGCAAACUCCAGCCAACAGCAGCCUGGUUAAGAGCAGCCUGGAUACUGCAGAACCAGUGCAAACUCCAGCCAACAGCAGCCUGGUUAAGAGCAGCCUGGACACUGCAGAACCAGUGCAAACUCCAGCCAACAGCAGCCUGGUUAAGAGCAGCCUGGAUACUGCAAAACCAGUGCAAACUCCAGCCAACAGCAGCCUGGUUAAGAGCAGCCUGGACACUGCAAAACCAGUGCAAACUCCAGCCCUUUGCUGGAGCUUAUGGAGAAUUUGGGGUGGGUGGGAUCAGGGGAGCACCCUGGGCAUACCCAGCUGCUGGAGGUUGCUCAGCCACAUGUCCACAGGCUUGGGACACCUGUAGGAAUGGAGCACCAGGGAGCAGAGGAAGAAGUGUGUUAUUGCCCCACUCUGCUGGGCCUGGCUUCUGGAAUGCCUGAGUGGAAGUCAGAUCCACAUGUAAGAGCUGUGCCAGCUCCCACAAGUUCCCUCUGCAGUGCAGCAUGGAUAAACCAAAAGGAGAAGACAGCCAUGUGCCAUUCUGGGGGCUGCUCCCAUGCCAGUGCCCUCACAGUCGAGCUCCUAUGCGCCCAACACUCCAUUGAGCCAUUCCCAGUGAGGACCAGGCCACAGGCUGGAAUCUCACCCAAGACUCACUGCUGCAUCUCUGAAGUGCUAGCAUCUCUCUGGUCCUGACAAAUCUCUGCUGGCAGUAAAAGCAGUAGCAAGCUGCAAACAACAAAAACUAACAACUACAACUGAAAAGCAUCAGCAGACUGAAAGCCCAUUUCCUUCUUGACCUCUGAGAGCAAUAUUCUGCAGGGAUCUCCAUUCCAGUGAGCCUAUUCCAGAAGCAUCCUCUUCCACUGGGCAGCAACCCAAACCCCUCAUUUUGUUCUGGGAAUAGACACGAAGAACUGCAACGAGAGAGGCCUUCAGGGCCCAGCCCAUGCAGGGAGCACAGAGGGCCAGAGGGAGCUAACAGCAAUGUCCUCAGAGGCAGUCCCAGCUCUUUGGCAGCAUGGACUCGGCCUGACUGGGCAAAGUCCAGCACUGGAGCUGCCAACAUGAAAUGCAUUUCUGGACUGCAGAGCCAUCCUUUAAGGGGCAAGCAAAGGUGGCUCCCCACUUUCUGCCCAGAAGGACCACACAGCUUGAGUCUCUUGCUGCCCUCUGGAAACACUCUUGAAAUGUCAAUUUCUACCAACCUCAGCUUGACACAUGAAUAAAACCAAAGGAGCAAGAUGAGGAACAGAGAAAGCUCACAAGCAUUUCUCCGUGACACUCAUCAGCUGAAGAAUGCACCCCAACUUUGAACUUUGUCUGGAACUAACCAGUUACAAGGUCUGUCUCUAACAACAGCAUCAAUAAGAGGAUCAGACCCAAUCUGGCUUAACUGAAAAAAUCACACAAGUGAGUUUCCAAAGUGCAAGCCAAAACCUCAGGGCUGUGACAGUGACUUACACACACAGUGGCUGGAGUUGCCUUCUAUAUCCUCAUUUGCAGCUCAGAGACAACGUUCUUCACCAUCCACCACCUGUGAUUAACUAGUUAAUUAAUAUACUUCCCCACAGCUUUAAAGAAGUCUGCUUUCUUUUCUAAGUAUUAUUUUAAUCCACAGAACUGUAACCACUGGAAAAAAUACUUAGGCAGAAGUUAAUCAAGAGUGAGUUGUGCUUUGGCUAAAUAGGUCAUGCCCACUCUUGGCUCUCAGCUGCUACAGCAGCCCCAGUUCUCACAAUCAGUGAACUCUACACCCUUGGACAUCAAAAGAACUACACAUUUUUUUUUCCCCACAGGUAAAUACUUUUUGGCAACAAAGUAAUUUUUAAUUUCUUUGUACCUGUGCCUCUCUCUGCUGUCACAUUUGUGAAUUAUGGUAUAAUCUGCCACUGCAGGAUCUUCACACUGUGGCUUUCUGAAUGUGAGGCACUUUCCUCACACUCACAGACCACAUAAACCUGUUGCACUUUGUAUGAUCAUUUAUGACUCCACAGUCCUGGGAGACUUCAUACUACCUGUAACACUACUUAACAUGUUAAGGCACAAUGACGAACAGCAGGAAAACAGUACAGGUGUGGGUAAGCAAUGUCACUUCCCAGCUGACCUGGGCAAUGCACAGUAAAGUGCUUCAUCUCUGGCAGCUUCACCUAAAGGAAACUGGGUCUUUCACAACAGGGUAAGCAACAAAUGGCUCCUGAGUGCUAUGUGAAGUACAUGCCUAGAGGCAGAGCCUCAGACAAACUCGUGGCAACAGAAUGUAGCAGUGACAAUAAAUGCAAAUACAUAGAAAAGAUAAGCAGUGCUGGCCCAAAGUGAAAGAACUGGUAUUUUCUUGGUGAACUAUCAAACUACCAUAACGAGAACUGAACCUUUAUUUCUGUGCUGCUUUAAAGCAGGACAUUGAACACUGUUAAUUUGCUUGCAGGAGCACCUUGAGACCCCAAGAGAGCUCCGGGUCCCACUGUCCUAGGUGUGAUGUUAACAGAAUAGUAACUGAAGCUUGGUAUAAACAGUAACAAGAAUCAUGUCAGGCAAGGAAGAGUUCAUCUUCCCAAAGUCUCUGUGGAUGCCACUGCACACAGCUUGUGCUAGAGCAAUGUGUGUUUUCUCCUCUCUGUGUCUGCAGCUGAGAAUCAGCCUUUCUCUCUGUGUCUCACGAAGGUCUCCCGUAAGAGCGCAACAGCAGGAGAGUUACCUACAAACAUAUAAACUGAAAGAAGAAAAAUAUUGUCUGUGGCGACUCCUGGAUGUCUUCAGAGCUACAAAGCCUGACUGAAGAAACCAGCAGGUGUCCAAAGUGCUCCUUUGAGGAGGCAGAUGAGUUGCACCUGCCGCUGCGCUUCCCUGAGGUCGGCACUGGCACAGCCCAGCCAGCUUUUUUGUUGGCACCUGUGGAAGAGAAUUGGGAAACAUGCACGUGAAGAUCAGAGGAACACAGGAAAGGCUGACAGAAAGCUCUCCUUGCAAACAGGAAGCCAAGGAAGUGCUGGAAAGCUGCUGCUGCUG
Pogoniulus pusillus (Red-fronted tinkerbird) is the source of this 5475-nucleotide long non-coding RNA. RefSeq lists it as uncharacterized. NCBI's taxonomy places the organism in Eukaryota, Metazoa, Chordata, Aves, Piciformes, Lybiidae. The record is from RefSeq and is a predicted model, not a curated record. The transcript is spliced from 3 exons.